GACGAACGCUGGCGGCGUGCUUAACACAUGCAAGUCGAACGGAAAGGCCCUGCUUUUGUGGGGUGCUCGAGUGGCGAACGGGUGAGUAACACGUGAGUAACCUGCCCUUGACUUUGGGAUAACUUCAGGAAACUGGGGCUAAUACCGGAUAGGAGCUCCUGCUGCAUGGUGGGGGUUGGAAAGUUUCGGCGGUUGGGGAUGGACUCGCGGCUUAUCAGCUUGUUGGUGGGGUAGUGGCUUACCAAGGCUUUGACGGGUAGCCGGCCUGAGAGGGUGACCGGCCACAUUGGGACUGAGAUACGGCCCAGACUCCUACGGGAGGCAGAAGUGGGGAAUAUUGCACAAUGGGCGGAAGCCUGAUGCAGCAACGCCGCGUGCGGGAUGACGGCCUUCAGGUUGUAAACCGCUUUCGCCUGUGACGAAGCGUGAGUGACAGUAAUAGGUAAAGAAGCACCGGCUAACUACGUG
RNAcentral lists this ribosomal RNA (468 nucleotides) under uncultured bacterium. RNAcentral describes it as "partial 16S ribosomal RNA". It matches the Rfam family "Bacterial small subunit ribosomal RNA", at positions 28 to 507 of the family's 1533-position model. The record is from RNAcentral.